AGAUUGAGAGCUAACCGAACAAACCCUUACGUGGACCACUCAGUUCAUUUUCUUCUCACGCACAUCUCUCUCGCUCCCGUAGAGACACACAGUCGCCAUCGCUCAGCACAGCCGCCCAGCAACACCCUACUCGCCUCCUCGAUCGGGAAACCGCAUACGCCGCCUCCUCUCCCCUUUCCACCGAGCUAGAAACGGCUGGCACAAUAGUCUCUGCUAUUGAUGGCGCUGAAGACAGCCGCUGACCCUUCUUCCCCCCCGGCGACCUCUGAUCUUCUCCCUUCUCUAUAAAUCGCAAGCUACGCCCUCCGUGGUGCCGUUCCCCGCCUUCAUGUGCUCGCCCCACGCCUCCCCUUCCUGUUGCGCGCAAAGAACACGCCGCCGACAUCUAUCCUCAUCGACACUGGUGUUCUCGGCCACCUUCCACCGCCAGAGGACUGCUCUGAAGACCCACAUCGAUCUCCGUCGCCGGUAUCUAGCUCUGCAGCGCCGCCCGCCGCCAAGCCGAGCUCAACGCCGUUCUUUCCCUCUCCUAUUCGACGUUGCUGCGAGAAGCUGAUUUCGUGGUAGAGGACCUGAACUCGUUUGAGGAAGACCCACAAUAAAUGUUUGAGCAAG
This is a long non-coding RNA of Zea mays, 615 nucleotides long. RefSeq lists it as uncharacterized. The record is from RefSeq and is a predicted model, not a curated record. The transcript is spliced from 2 exons. NCBI's taxonomy places the organism in Eukaryota, Viridiplantae, Streptophyta, Magnoliopsida, Poales, Poaceae.